Molecule: ribosomal RNA, 497 nt
Filed under: uncultured bacterium
Lineage: Bacteria
Description: partial 16S ribosomal RNA
Rfam family: Bacterial small subunit ribosomal RNA
Source: RNAcentral
GAUGAACGCUGGCGGCGUGCCUAGUACAUGCAAGUCGAGCGAACGGACGAGAAGCUUGCUUCUCUGAUGUUAGCGGCGGACGGGUGAGUAACACGUGGAUAACCUACCUAUAAGACUGGGAUAACUUCGGGAAACCGGAGCUAAUACCGGAUAAUAUUAUGAACCGCAUGGUUCAAAAGUGAAAGACGGUCUUGCUGUCACUUAUAGAUGGAUCCGCGCUGCAUUAGCUAGUUGGUAAGGUAACGGCUUACCAAGGCAACGAUGCAUAGCCGACCUGAGAGGGUGAUCGGCCACACUGGAACUGAGACACGGUCCAGACUCCUACGGGAGGCAGCAGUAGGGAAUCUUCCGCAAUGGGCGAAAGCCUGACGGAGCAACGCCGCGUGAGUGAUGAAGGUCUUCGGAUCGUAAAACUCUGUUAUUAGGGAAGAACAUAUGUGUAAGUAACUGUGCACAUCUUGACGGUACCUAAUCAGAAAGCCACGGCUAACUACGUG